GAUUCAAGCCCCAGGUGAAGACACCUCCCUCACUGUCCAAGCGUGCUUCUCUACAUGGGCGGCGUCACCACGAUCAAUUUGCCAAUUCAAGCCAAGGGUUGCAUUAGAUCUUCACGAAUCAUAUCUAUUAUUUUGAGGAGCACUCAAACAAUUGUAUUGCAAAACAGUAUGCCUUUGUUUGACGGUGUAUUCACCUCAUCAUACCAUCUGUUCUAAUCAAGG
Triticum dicoccoides is the source of this 222-nucleotide long non-coding RNA. RefSeq lists it as uncharacterized. The record is from RefSeq and is a predicted model, not a curated record. NCBI's taxonomy places the organism in Eukaryota, Viridiplantae, Streptophyta, Magnoliopsida, Poales, Poaceae. The transcript has 3 exons.